GACGAACGCUGGCGGCGUGCUUAACACAUGCAAGUCGAACGGAAAGGCCCUGCUUUUGUGGGGUGCUCGAGUGGCGAACGGGUGAGUAACACGUGAGUAACCUGCCCUUGACUUUGGGAUAACUUCAGGAAACUGGGGCUAAUACCGGAUAGGAGCUCCUGCUGCAUGGUGGGGGUUGGAAAGUUUCGGCGGUUGGGGAUGGACUCGCGGCUUAUCAGCUUGUUGGUGGGGUAGUGGCUUACCAAGGCUUUGACGGGGAGCCGGCCUGAGAGGGUGACCGGCCACAUUGGGACUGAGGUACGGCCCAGACUCCUACGGGAGGCAGCAGUGGGGGAUAUUGCACAAUGGGCGGAAGCCUGAUGCAGCAACGCCGCGUGCGGGAUGACGGCCUUCGGGUUGUAAACCGCUUUCGCCUGUGACGAAGCGUGAGUGACGGUAAUGGGUAAAGAAGCACCGGCUAACUACGUG
Molecule: ribosomal RNA, 468 nt
Filed under: uncultured bacterium
Lineage: Bacteria
Description: partial 16S ribosomal RNA
Rfam family: Bacterial small subunit ribosomal RNA
Source: RNAcentral